GACGAAGGGAGCGAACGUUAUUCGGAAUCACUGGGCUUAAAGGGCGCGUAGGCGGGCGGUCAAGUCAGGGGUGAAAGCCCCCAGCUCAACUGGGGAAGUGCCUUUGAUACUGGUCGUCUCGAGGGGGAUAGGGGCGUGCGGAACUUCCGGUGGAGCGGUGAAAUGCGUAGAUAUCGGAAGGAACACCGGUGGCGAAAGCGGCGCGCUGGAUCCCUUCUGACGCUGAGGCGCGAAAGCCAGGGGAGCGAACGGG
RNAcentral lists this ribosomal RNA (253 nucleotides) under uncultured bacterium. RNAcentral describes it as "partial 16S ribosomal RNA". It matches the Rfam family "Bacterial small subunit ribosomal RNA", at positions 524 to 776 of the family's 1533-position model. The record is from RNAcentral.